GGCCAGAUAAGGCGUUCAAGCCGCAUCUGGCAUUUUGCUCUCAAUGCCUGAUGCGACGCUGGCGCGUCUUAUCAGGCC
Molecule: non-coding RNA, 78 nt
Filed under: Escherichia coli
Lineage: Bacteria; Pseudomonadati; Pseudomonadota; Gammaproteobacteria; Enterobacterales; Enterobacteriaceae
Description: naRNA4
Rfam family: Nucleoid-associated noncoding RNA 4 (CssrE)
About the family: In E. coli small RNA transcribed from repeated extragenic palindromic element (REP325) called nucleoid-associated ncRNA 4 (nRNA4) collaborates HU protein in condensing the DNA. The secondary structure but not the sequence of the RNA is important in nucleoid condensation. Also identified in Shigella as CssrE.
Source: RNAcentral